CCUGUAAGACUGGGAUAACUCCGGGAAACCGGAGCUAAUACCGGAUAGUUCCUUGAACCGCAUGGUUCAAGGAUGAAAGACGGUUUCGGCUGUCACUUACAGAUGGACCCGCGGCGCAUUAGCUAGUUGGUGAGGUAACGGCUCACCAAGGCGACGAUGCGUAGCCGACCUGAGAGGGUGAUCGGCCACACUGGGACUGAGACACGGCCCAGACUCCUACGGGAGGCAGCAGUAGGGAAUCUUCCGCAAUGGACGAAAGUCUGACGGAGCAACGCCGCGUGAGUGAUGAAGGUUUUCGGAUCGUAAAGCUCUGUUGUUAGGGAAGAACAAGUGCAAGAGUAACUGCUUGCACCUUGACGGUACCUAACCAGAAAGCCACGGCUAACUACGUGCCAGCAGCCGCGGUAAUACGUAGGUGGCAAGCGUUGUCCGGAAUUAUUGGGCGUAAAGGGCUCGCAGGCGGUUUCUUAAGUCUGAUGGGAAAGCCCCCGGCUCAACCGGGGACGGUCAUAGGAAACUAGGAAACUUGAGUCCAGAAGAGGAGAGUGGAAUUCCACGUGUAGCGGUGAAAUGCGUAGAGAUGUGGAGGAACACCAGUGGCGAAGGCGACUCUCUGGUCUGUAACUGACGCUGAGGAGCGAAAGCGUGGGGAGCGAACAGGAUUAGAUACCCUGGUAGUCCACGCCGUAAACGAUGAGUGCUAAGUGUUAGGGGGUUUCCGCCCCUUAGUGCUGCAGCUAACGCAUUAAGCACUCCGCCUGGCGAGUACGGUCGCAAGACUGAAACUCAAAGGAAUUGACGGGGGCCCGCACAAGCGGUGGAGCAUGUGGUUUAAUUCGAAGCAACGCGAAGAACCUUACCAGGUCUUGACAUCCUCUGACAACCCUAGAGAUAGGGCUUUCCCUUCGGGGACAGAGUGACAGGUGGUGCAUGGUUGUCGUCAGCUCGUGUCGUGAGAUGUUGGGUUAAGUCCCGCAACGAGCGCAACCCUUGAUGUUAGUUGCCAGCAUUCAGUUGGGCACUCUAAGGUGACUGCCGGUGACAAACCGGAGGAAGGUGGGGAUGACGUCAAAUCAUCAUGCCCCUUAUGACCUGGGCUACAC
Molecule: ribosomal RNA, 1103 nt
Filed under: Bacillus altitudinis
Lineage: Bacteria; Bacillati; Bacillota; Bacilli; Caryophanales; Bacillaceae
Description: bacterial SSU rRNA
Rfam family: Bacterial small subunit ribosomal RNA
Source: RNAcentral